CAAGAGAUAGCUUACUAUUUAAAGCAUUCAACUUACAAUUGAAAGACGUUUAUGAUAACUCUCUUGA
RNAcentral lists this transfer RNA (67 nucleotides) under Phelsuma laticauda (broad-tailed day gecko). RNAcentral describes it as "tRNA-Val". It matches the Rfam family "tRNA". From Rfam's summary of the family: Transfer RNA (tRNA) molecules are approximately 80 nucleotides in length. The record is from RNAcentral. Lineage: Eukaryota; Metazoa; Chordata; Lepidosauria; Squamata; Gekkonidae.